CCUACGGGAGGCAGCAGUGGGGGAUAUUGGACAAUGGGGGGAACCCUGAUCCAGCGACGCCGCGUGAGUGAAGAAGUAUUUCGGUAUGUAAAGCUCUGUCAGCAGGGAAGAAAGAAAUGACGGUACCUGACCAAGAAGCCCCGGCUAACUACGUGCCAGCAGCCGCGGUAAUACGGAGGGGGCAAGCGUUAUCCGGAAUUACUGGGUGUAAAGGGAGCGUAGACGGUUAAGUAAGUCUGGAGUGAAAGGCCGGGGCCCAACCCCGGGACUGCUCUGGAAACUAUUGAACUUGAGUGCAGGAGAGGUAAGCGGAAUGCCUAGUGUAGCGGUGAAAUGCGUAGAUAUUAGGAGGAACACCAGUGGCGAAGGCGGCUUACUGGACUGUAACUGACGUUGAGGCUCGAAAGCGUGGGGAGCAAACAGGAUUAGAUACCCGGGUAGUC
This 443-nucleotide ribosomal RNA is filed under the name uncultured bacterium. RNAcentral's name for it is "partial 16S ribosomal RNA". It matches the Rfam family "Bacterial small subunit ribosomal RNA", at positions 338 to 795 of the family's 1533-position model. The record is from RNAcentral.